AAACACGGACCAAGGAGUCUAACAUGUGCGCAAGUCAUUGGGUUCACUAGACCUAAAGGCGCAAUGAAAGUGAAGGUCUCGCCACGCGCGGACCGAGGGAAGAUGGAGUUCGCAGAAGCGGCUCUCGCAUUCCCGGGGCGUCUCGUUCUCACUGCGAGUUGAGGCGCACCCAGAGCGUACACGUUGGGACCCGAAAGAUGGUGAACUAUGCCUGGCCAGGACGAAGUCAGGGGAAACCCUGAUGGAGGUCCGUAGCGAUUCUGACGUGCAAAUCGAUCGUCGGAGCUGGGUAUAGGGGCGAAAGACUAAUCGAACCAUCUAGUAGCUG
RNAcentral lists this ribosomal RNA (328 nucleotides) under Sia sp. MCJ-2002. Its description in RNAcentral is "eukaryotic LSU rRNA". It matches the Rfam family "Eukaryotic large subunit ribosomal RNA", at positions 657 to 953 of the family's 3401-position model. Lineage: Eukaryota; Metazoa; Arthropoda; Insecta; Orthoptera; Stenopelmatidae. The record is from RNAcentral.